AGGACGAACGCUGGCGGCGUGCUUAACACAUGCAAGUCGAGCGGUAAGGCCUUUCGGGGUACACGAGCGGCGAACGGGUGAGUAACACGUGGGUGAUCUGCCCUGCACUCUGGGAUAAGCCUGGGAAACUGGGUCUAAUACCGGAUAUGACCUGCUCUCGCAGUGGGGGUGGGUGGAAAGAUUUAUCGGUGCAGGAUGGGCCCGCGGCCUAUCAGCUUGUUGGUGGGUAAUGGCCUACCGAAGGCGACGACGGGUAGCCGACCUGAGAGGGUGACCGGCCACACGUGGGACUGAGACACGGCCCAGACUCCUACGGGAGCAGCAGUGGGAAUAUGCAGAAUGGGACAAAGCCUAGGAUGACAGCGACGCCGCGUGAGGAUAGGAAGGCCGUUACGGGUUAGUAAACCUC
This 409-nucleotide ribosomal RNA is filed under the name uncultured soil bacterium. Its description in RNAcentral is "bacterial SSU rRNA". It matches the Rfam family "Bacterial small subunit ribosomal RNA", at positions 26 to 433 of the family's 1533-position model. The record is from RNAcentral.